This 214-nucleotide unclassified non-coding RNA is filed under the name Glomus sp. RNAcentral's name for it is "partial contains 5.8S ribosomal RNA and internal transcribed spacer 2". The stretch from base 1 to 65 matches the Rfam family "5.8S ribosomal RNA", at positions 84 to 154 of the family's 154-position model. Lineage: Eukaryota; Fungi; Glomeromycota; Glomeromycetes; Glomerales; Glomeraceae. The record is from RNAcentral.
GUGAAUCAUCAAAUCUUUGAACGCAAAUUGCACUCUCCUCGGAGAGUAUGCCUGUGUGAGGAUCAGCCUAUAAAAAACCGACAUGGUUGCUGUUUCGCGGUGGCGGUCGGCGGAAAUUGAGUAAUCUUAAACCUUAUGGUUUUAACCGACUUAAAAUUUUCUUUUGGGUUCCAUGAACGUUGCUAAGAUUUUUUUCUUUACAGGUUUAAGGUAU